Molecule: ribosomal RNA, 233 nt
Filed under: uncultured bacterium
Lineage: Bacteria
Description: partial 16S ribosomal RNA
Rfam family: Bacterial small subunit ribosomal RNA
Source: RNAcentral
AUUAGCCUACGGGGCGCAGCAGUGGGGAAUAUUGCACAAUGGGGGAAACCCUGAUGCAGCAACGCCGCGUGAGUGAAGAAGUAUUUCGGUAUGUAAAGCUCUAUCAGCAGGGAAGAAAAUGACAGUACCUGACUAAGAAGCCCCGGCUAACUACGUGCCAGCAGCCGCGGUAAUACGUAGGGGGCAAGCGUUAUCCGGAUUUACUGGGUGUAAAGGGAGCGUAGACGGCUGUG